Molecule: long non-coding RNA, 397 nt
Filed under: Nicotiana benthamiana
Lineage: Eukaryota; Viridiplantae; Streptophyta; Magnoliopsida; Solanales; Solanaceae
Description: long non-coding RNA (NBEN_LNC033435)
Source: RNAcentral
UAGGUCAAAUGGACAUGAAGUUGGGAGUGUAAAGAAGAGAAGUGGAUCAAGAAAAGAGACAAAUUAGGCAAGAUUUGCAAUUUAGAAGACUGUAACAAAGUUGGGACAGAAAAAUGAAUGUACUUUGUUUGAUUGAUGUAUCAUAAUUAAACUUACCCACAAAAUGAAUAUUUGAACCUUUUUUUCUUGGGUAGUGGAGUGUGGUGGUGAGAGUUGGAUAUUGUUGAAAAGUUUUUACGUUCUUCAAUAGGAAGUACACUUGUGUAGUGGAGUAUGGUGGUGAGAGUUGGAUAUUGUUGAAAACUUUUUAUGUUCUUCAAUAGGAAGUACAUAAAAAUGGAAUAUAGGGUUUAGAUUAUAUUCUAGUUCUUAAGAGGUAUCAAUACAAGGAGUACUA